This 220-nucleotide long non-coding RNA is filed under the name Callithrix jacchus (white-tufted-ear marmoset). Its description in RNAcentral is "lncRNA (ENSCJAG00000058757.2)". Lineage: Eukaryota; Metazoa; Chordata; Mammalia; Primates; Cebidae. The record is from RNAcentral.
AAUGGCAUUUGAGUAAAGAACCAAGAAGUGAAGCACAGGAUUGUUGGCUGUUCGUGGAAGCUAUGUAUCUGUUGUGAAAAUUCCCAUCCAGCUUCAAGAAUCACACUCUCAAGCAGAAGGCGAUCUAAGAGAAAGCAAGAGGCACACUACUCCAGGUUGGUAAGUAGUCAAAAAUUUAUUCAGGGGAAACUUACAUAUGAGGCAGUCUUGGGUGCAGCAA